GGGGAUGUUCUGGUUUUGACAGCAUCGAUUCCGGAUGGUAAGCACGUCGGGAGUAGGAGACUGGCCCGCUAAUCCCAGUCUUCAAGCCAUAACUGGCAACUACAACUACUCAUACGCUUGCUAGUUUCAUAGAAACUGAGCAUCAAUCAGAGCCGCCAAGGCUGCGGCACUGACGUAUAUCCCUCCAGCUUUAGGCCGGUUCAGUCUGGGUAAAGGGGUAUCAUCAAAACCGGAUGCGCGGGGCGGACGCCUCUAUGUCCCGUCAAGAUUCAGAGGAUAAGCUUCGGCUGGCCCGUCCUUCGGCAGGCCGGAGUCGACAACCAAAGGAGGAAUAAGCGUGUAGAAAGCUCUCUGGGGCGUUGUUUGGACGGCGGUUCGACUCCGCCCAUCUCCACUG
This 397-nucleotide transfer-messenger RNA is filed under the name Candidatus Cryptobacteroides merdipullorum. RNAcentral's name for it is "Cryptobacteroides merdipullorum Standard tmRNA". It matches the Rfam family "transfer-messenger RNA". Rfam says of the family: Bacterial tmRNA, also known as 10Sa RNA or SsrA, is named for its dual tRNA and mRNA-like properties. Lineage: Bacteria; Pseudomonadati; Bacteroidota; Bacteroidia; Bacteroidales. The record is from RNAcentral.